Molecule: long non-coding RNA, 3470 nt
Organism: Oreochromis aureus
Lineage: Eukaryota; Metazoa; Chordata; Actinopteri; Cichliformes; Cichlidae
Source: Ensembl
CGCUUAGGCGCCGUGUUUCCUGCCAGGUACGCUCCGACGCGCCGCAACGUGGUGACGUCAUUCGGGGCGACUGGAAUCGAUAAGGGAAUCGUUUGUAAAAAUGGCAAACAAUUCCAAGGAAUUGAAACAGUGGGAACCGAUUCUCAACAAGAACCGGUUUUCGAUACCCAUCCCUACCCUCGUGUCUCCAUGUUUCCACGCAUGGCACUAAACUUGAAGGAAAGGCGAAAAAUGAUCCCAACAUCAAUGUUAAAGAAAUACUGGAGAAAAUAGGCCCUAAUGACGAUUCACGUUGAGAAUCUGGGUGUUCCAUCAGCACUUCCAACCACACUUCCUACUGGAUUUACGAGUAACAGUGUUUGUUGUUCCUGCCUGCAUCUGUGUAUCACUCAUUUAACAGGAAGUCUUACAUGAAAUAAAGAAGAGAAAAUGUGUUUUAUUGGUGUUUUAGAUUUUAUUAGUAAAUGGAGUGUCAAGCUCCCCAAGCAACACAACUAUAUAAAAAAAUCUAAAGUAGAAAUAAAGCGGUUCUACAAAAUACACCGAUGAGCCUUCACAAGCAAGUUUGAUGCUCCAAUCUAAUGUGUGGUGGUGAAAAUGAUCAGAAAGACCUUCAGGGUCUUACUUAGACAUUUUAUGGCAAUCCACAAAAUGAAACAAGUAAAAUAAUAAGACAAAGAAAAUGAACAAAUAUCCACAAAUGAAGUCCAGGACUGAGGAAAUGUUUCAUAGUUUUAGAAAAUGACAUGGAAAAUUGUCAUAUUCAGUCAAGAUGGUUUAUUCUAUCAGCUGAAUUUCUCCCAGUGUCACAAAAUAGUAAUAGAUAAUGUAUCAUCUUCAGUCAAGCUGUGAUAUAUCUGAUGUAUAAAGCAUUUUCAUAUUGAGGUUCAUAAAAAACAGUAGAAUGAAAAGGGAAAAAAAUCUGUAUAGAAGGGAGUUAAAUAGAAAGUCAACAGAAAGUUUUAGUAGAAUUUCGCCAUAUCCAUCUAAAUCUGGAGUUAGCCCUUGGUUUACUGUACUACAAAUUUGGUUCACUUCUUCCCAGAGUACACUGGUAACUUGUGGUGAAUCUAACCUGGAGUUUAGGUUUCAGACUAGAAAUCAACACAUAGGGUGAUUUAGAUACAAAUUUCAUCAUCACAUCCCUAAAACUAAUUAUCAGCAACAAUAAAAAUGUAUUUUCCUAUUAUUUUCUGAUAUUGCCUUCCAAUGUUAUAUUUUGCCAAUUUGGUUACACUCUAAAAAGUGGUUCAUCAGACCUGUUACCACCACUUGAUUAAAUGCAGGGCUGCAAGAGAAAAUAAGUAAUGCUACUAUUUAGCACUGUAAUUUAGCCGUUCUGAACUUUAGCAUAGGAGUGGAUAAGACUUAUGAAGUUUCAUGUGACAAAACACGAUCACAUAAGCAUGAAUAACACACAAAGCAUGAAUAAUGUUUUGCUAUCUGCUUCUAUCUAAUUUCAGUCACAGUUUUUUUUCUGUGAGAAGGAUAAAAAUAGGCAGAGUGAUUCUUUUUUUGUCUGUCACUCAUUUUAUGUCUUUAUAAAACUUGCAAAAUGCUGUACAUUAUAUUACAUUGUAAAUUAUUUUGGUUACUAUUGUGAUAAAGUUUAAGUAAGUAUUGUUUUUGAUCUCAAGAGCUGUAUCCAUUGUUGUUACCUUUUUAAGACAUCAAGUUGUGUGAAAUAUUAUUAAAAUGAUUCACAUAGUCUAUGCCAGGAUGAUACUGUCGGAAUCUUCUUGAAAUUAAGACUUUAUCUAAGAAUUUGUGCAUAGAUAAACGUCAUUUAUUAUUAAAAAAAAAUACUAAAUGAUUAUUGUGGUGGAUUAUCUGUCUGUAAUAUCAAUUUUAAGCAAGUUUAAAAUAUUAGUAAAGCCUGACAAAUUGUUGAAGUUUCCUUCAACCAUUAUUAGUUUAGCAAUUUUUUUUUAGCAAGUUUUUCUGUUUGUGUGGUUUACAGAUAAAGGAAGAGUUCAGUAACUGUUCAGAAUAACUGUAAGCCUUGAAUCUACCUUUACAGCUAAACUUGACCACUACACCCCAAAACUAAUGGCUUUAGUUCAUCAAGAGGAUGAGCUAAAGGAGUGAGAAUCAGGCAGAUCACUGAGGUAUGAAUAUUAUUUAGACUGGCUAUUUGUUGGUGAUGACCCACAGCACAAUACAGUUGAAAUACACAGGGAAGUAGCCAUCCGCUGCCUUGUUGCAUAGCUUGGAGAGAAGGAAGAAGACUUUUCGUGGAGUUUGGUGUAAGUAAUUCAGCAUUUGAACAAAAAUUAAAUCCACACUGAUCAUAGUGUGGAUUUACACAGUUGUCAUAUUACUCUAAACAUGGCUUGAACAUGAACUGUUGUACCGUUGUAUUAUAUUGAAAUCUCUGAUUAUUCAAUUUGAAUUAUUCUUAGCCACAGUAAUAGGUCAUCCAACUAAUUAGGUUGCUUUUGUAGGUAACUUUGUAAUAUUUGCAAUUCAAAUGCAUUCCAACUGAAUCGAGAUUUGCAAAUGUGAAAAGGGUUGACCACAUUUGCAAGCAGCUUAUUCCGUUAGUAUUUUUUUUACAAGGCACUGCAGGCAUGACAUUGUGAUUGAGUCCCCCUAAUGUUUUGAUCCUAGAAUUGCUCCUGAAUCAACAUGUGAAAUCUGGAAACAUUGAUUCACAUCAAACAGCAGGACCAAAGUGAGGCUCAGUCACAGGAAGUUAAGAAGCUUUUUGAAGAAUACAACAAAAUGAUGUUCCUGUUGUCCAAGCAGUUCACCCAGUGGGAUGAGACCCUGAGAAAGAUGGAAGAGGCCAAAGGAAUCCGACCAGUGGAAUAGUGACUGUCAACAUAUGUUCAGAUGACAAAAGUGGAAAAACGAAAAACACUGCACUGUGGUGGGAGUGUCAGAUAUGUGAGGCAACGGCAUCACCACAUUUCUUUUCUUCUUCUUUUUUGUUUUAAAACAUUUAAUUUAUUUGAAUCAGGUGAUAUAACUUUGAUAGUCUAACCUGAUGUAAGAAAUCCUCAAAAGUGUAAGAAACAGUACAUUAACAAUUCCAGAAAUAGUCACUGCAGGUGGUAAAAUAUUGAAGGCAGGUUUGUCUCCCUGCUAAUGCUUGUGGUGCCCGAACAUAGUAAUACUGUCACUGAUACGAACCCAGUCAUAUAGGAAAAAACUGGGUUUCCUGUAACCGUUUAUUUGUGGAUAAAUUCACUCUUAUCACUCAACUUGUAGUUGUUAUGCUGUUUAUUGUCAGACAAAAGUACUUUACUUGUAAUGCAUUCCUGUCCUCCUUACUGUAGGCAUGUCACAAGACUUAAAUUGCUCUUCCCCCAAUUCAAAAACACACUAGUUACUUCCCUCUGGAUGCUUGUUGACAUGACUUGUAAAACCUUAAAUUAGUUUCAGUAUUUUUUCCAAUAUUUGGUUUGAACAUUUUAAUUAUAUCUGAUUUAUCUUACAGCAAAUAAAUGUUGUUGAUAAAUAAAUAA